RNAcentral lists this ribosomal RNA (467 nucleotides) under uncultured bacterium. Its description in RNAcentral is "partial 16S ribosomal RNA". It matches the Rfam family "Bacterial small subunit ribosomal RNA", at positions 28 to 507 of the family's 1533-position model. The record is from RNAcentral.
GACGAACGCUGGCGGCGUGCUUAACACAUGCAAGUCGAACGGAAAGGCCCUGCUUUUGUGGGGUGCUCGAGUGGCGAACGGGUGAGUAACACGUGAGUAACCUGCCCUUGACUUUGGGAUAACUUCAGGAAACUGGGGCUAAUACCGGAUAGGAGCUCCUGCUGCAUGGUGGGGGUUGGAAAGUUUCGGCGGUUGGGGAUGGACUCGCGGCUUAUCAGCUUGUUGGUGGGGUAGUGGCUUACCAAGGCUUUGACGGGUAGCCGGCCUGAGAGGGUGACCGGCCACAUUGGGACUGAGAUACGGCCAGACUCCUACGGGAGGCAGCAGUGGGGAUUAUUGCACAAUGGGCGGAAGCCUGAUGCAGCAACGCCGCGUGCGGGAUGACGGCCUUCGGGUUGUAAACCGCUUUCGCCUGUGACGAAGCGUGAGUGACGGUAAUGGGUAAAGAAGCACCGGCUAACUACGUG